RNAcentral lists this ribosomal RNA (456 nucleotides) under Triticum aestivum (bread wheat). Its description in RNAcentral is "partial small subunit ribosomal RNA". Lineage: Eukaryota; Viridiplantae; Streptophyta; Magnoliopsida; Poales; Poaceae. The record is from RNAcentral.
AAUCUUCUUUCAGUUCCUAAACUCACACGUGAUAAUAAUGUGCUUUGUGAAUUUCACCCUUUUGAUCUUUUUAUUAAGGAUCGGGGCACGAGGGACAUUCUUCUUAGUGGGCGGUUGUGCCAGGGCCUCUACCGUCUGGAGCAUCCUGGUGUCGCUCAUGUUUUCAGUGGAGUUCGGGUCUCUCCGUCACAGUGGCAUGCUCGUCUUGGUCACCCGGCCACACCUAUUGUCCGUCAUAUUUUGCGUCAUCAUGAGCUUCCUAGUUUGUCUAGUCAUAAAGAUGUAGCAGUGUGUGAUGCUUGUCAGCAGGGGAAGAGUCAUCAACUUCCUUUUUUGGAGUCCAGUCAUGAGGUGAAACAUCCUUUAGAACUUGUGUUUUCAGAUGUAUGGGGUCCUGCUCAGACUUCUGUCAGUGGUCAUAAUUACUAUAUCAGUUUCGUUGAUGCUUAUAGUCGC